This 464-nucleotide ribosomal RNA is filed under the name Brettanomyces naardenensis. RNAcentral's name for it is "partial small subunit ribosomal RNA". It matches the Rfam family "Bacterial small subunit ribosomal RNA", at positions 375 to 904 of the family's 1533-position model. Lineage: Eukaryota; Fungi; Ascomycota; Pichiomycetes; Pichiales; Pichiaceae. The record is from RNAcentral.
UCGAAAGAUUGAUCNAGUUACUUAAAAAGAUGAAGAUUAUAAAAAAAUAGAAGAAAAAUAAUAAUGAAGAAUAUAAAAUCAAUAUAUAAUAUAAGAAAUAAUGAUAAUAUAAUAUAUAGAAGUCUUAACAAAGAUUAGUGCCAGCAGUUGCGGCUAAACUAAGGAGGCGAACGUUAAUCAUUAAAGGCUUAAAGGAUCCGUAGAACGAUAUAUAAAAUAUAUAAUAGAAUUAAAUAAAGAGAAUAAAGAAUAAUUAUAAUGAGAGAUGAAAUGUAAUGAAAAUAAUUAGACAGAUAAGAAUGAAAAUAGAAUUUAAUAUUUAAUUGACGUUGAGGGAUGAAGGCAUGAGUAGUGAACCGGAUUAGAUACCCGAGUAAUUCAUGCAGUAAACGAUGAAUACUAAUAAAAUAAGCGAAGGUUUAAGUAUUCCGCCAGGUGAGUAUAUUCACAAGAAUGAAACUCAA